AGAUUUGUUUCUGGUUCACACAGGCACCUACUGAGCCGAUCAGCUCUGCCAUCUGAUGAGUGCUCUGCAGAAACGGGAGGAGCAGAUGAAUUAGAGGCUUUGUCUGCUGCUUGUUUGAUUGUUUGUACUCUUUUCAACAUCCUGCAACUCCACCAGGGACAAGCAAAUGUGAGUCCAGCUCAGGUAUCCCCAGCCACUUCUGCCUUGUCAACAAUUGCCCAGAAGCAAC
This 229-nucleotide long non-coding RNA is filed under the name Coturnix japonica (Japanese quail). RNAcentral's name for it is "lncRNA (ENSCJPG00005003000.1)". The record is from RNAcentral. Lineage: Eukaryota; Metazoa; Chordata; Aves; Galliformes; Phasianidae.